This 480-nucleotide ribosomal RNA is filed under the name uncultured soil bacterium. RNAcentral's name for it is "bacterial SSU rRNA". It matches the Rfam family "Bacterial small subunit ribosomal RNA", at positions 26 to 507 of the family's 1533-position model. The record is from RNAcentral.
AGAUUGAACGCUGGCGGCAGGCCUAACACAUGCAAGUCGAGCGGCAGCACGGGUACUUGUACCUGGUGGCGAGCGGCGGACGGGUGAGUAAUGCCUAGGAAUCUGCCUGGUAGUGGGGGAUAACGCUCGGAAACGGACGCUAAUACCGCAUACGUCCUACGGGAGAAGGCAGGGGACCUUCGGGCCUUGCGCUAUCAGAUGAGCCUAGGUUGGAUUAGCUAGUUGGUGAGGUAAUGGCUCACCAAGGCGACGAUCCGUAACUGGUCUGAGAGGAUGAUCAGUCACACUGGAACUGAGACACGGUCCAGACUCCUACGGGAGCAGCAGUGGGAAUAUUGGACAAUGGGCAAAGCCUGAUCCAGCCAUGCCGCGUGUGUGAAGAGGUCUUCGGAUUGUAAAGCACUUUAAGUGGAGAAGGCGAGUUACUAAUACGUAUCUGUUUUGACGUUACGACAGAAUAAGCACCGGCUAACUCUAGUG